CCUACGGGAGACAGCAGUGAGGAAUAUUGGUCAAUGGCCGGAAGGCUGAACCAGCCAAGCCGCGUGAGGGAGGAAGGCGCAGAGCGUCGCAGACCUCUUUUGCCGGGGGACAAAAGGCCGGACUCGUCCGGUCCUGAGGGUACCCGGAGAAAAGGCAUCGGCUAACUCCGUGCCAGCAGCCGCGGUAAUACGGAGGAUGCGAGCGUUAUCCGGAUUCAUUGGGUUUAAGGGGUGCGCGGGCGGGCCUUUAAGACGGCGGUGAAAUCGCGGGGCUCAACCCCGCCGAGCCGUGGGAACUGGGGGCCGUGAGUGCGGAGGAGGCAAGCGGAAUGCGCGGUGUAGCGGUGAAAUGCAUAGAUAUCGCGCAGAACACCGAUUGCGAAGGCAGC
RNAcentral lists this ribosomal RNA (389 nucleotides) under uncultured bacterium. RNAcentral describes it as "partial 16S ribosomal RNA". It matches the Rfam family "Bacterial small subunit ribosomal RNA", at positions 338 to 725 of the family's 1533-position model. The record is from RNAcentral.